UACGUAGGUGGCGAACGUUAUCCGGAGUGACUGGGUGUAAAGGGUCCGUAGGCGGGAAGGCAAGUCUGAUGUGAAAGCGCCGGGCUCACCCCGGCGAGGUCAUUGGAAACUGCGUUUCUUGAAUCACGCAGAGGUCGGUGGAAUUCCCGGUGUAGUGGUGGAAUGCGUAGAGAUCGGGAGGAACCUCGAAAGCGAAGGCAGCCGACUGGGGGAUGAUUGACGCUGAGGGACGAAAGCGUGGGGAGCGAACAGG
RNAcentral lists this ribosomal RNA (253 nucleotides) under uncultured bacterium. RNAcentral's name for it is "partial 16S ribosomal RNA". It matches the Rfam family "Bacterial small subunit ribosomal RNA", at positions 524 to 776 of the family's 1533-position model. The record is from RNAcentral.